UACGUAGGGUGCGAGCGUUAAUCGGAAUUACUGGGCGUAAAGCGUGCGCAGGCGGUUUCGUAAGCUGGAGGUGAAAUCCCCGGGCUUAACCUGGGAAUGGCCUUCAGGACUGCGAGGCUAGAGUGCGGCAGAGGGAGGUGGAAUUCCACGUGUAGCAGUGAAAUGCGUAGAGAUGUGGAGGAACACCGAUGGCGAAGGCAGCCUCCUGGGCCAGCACUGACGCUCAUGCACGAAAGCGUGGGGAGCAAAC
Molecule: ribosomal RNA, 250 nt
Filed under: uncultured bacterium
Lineage: Bacteria
Also listed under: 1 other name
Description: partial 16S ribosomal RNA
Rfam family: Bacterial small subunit ribosomal RNA
Source: RNAcentral